CCUGGCGGCACUAGCGCGGUGGUCCCACCUGACCCCAUGCCGAACUCAGAAGUGAAACGCCGUAGCGCCGAUGGUAGUGUGGGGUCUCCCCAUGCGAGAGUAGGGAACUG
This 110-nucleotide ribosomal RNA is filed under the name Salmonella enterica subsp. enterica serovar Heidelberg. Lineage: Bacteria; Pseudomonadati; Pseudomonadota; Gammaproteobacteria; Enterobacterales; Enterobacteriaceae. RNAcentral also lists the same sequence under 9 other names. The record is from RNAcentral.